GUCUCAGUUCGGAUUGUAGUCUGCAACUCGACUACAUGAAGCUGGAAUCGCUAGUAAUCGCGAAUCAGCAUGUCGCGGUGAAUACGUUCCCGGGUCUUGUACACACCGCCCGUCACACCAUGGGAGUCGGAAAUGCCCGAAGCCAGUGACCCAACCACAAGGAGGGAGCUGUCGAAGGUGGAGCCGGUGACUGGGGUGAAGUCGUAACAAGGUAAC
Molecule: ribosomal RNA, 216 nt
Filed under: uncultured bacterium
Lineage: Bacteria
Description: partial 16S ribosomal RNA
Rfam family: Bacterial small subunit ribosomal RNA
Source: RNAcentral